Long non-coding RNA from Macrobrachium nipponense, 4616 nucleotides. RefSeq lists it as uncharacterized. The transcript is spliced from 7 exons. The record is from RefSeq and is a predicted model, not a curated record. Lineage: Eukaryota; Metazoa; Arthropoda; Malacostraca; Decapoda; Palaemonidae.
UUAGGUUUAGGGUUUUAGUGUCAUUUGAGAAGUUGUUGAGGUAUACCUUUUGUGUCACUGGGUCCACCUGACGAAGCCGGAUCUAGUAACCGGUCUUUAAAAUAAUCUCUGAAAGGUUUUUCAUCGCUUAGAAAGUGAGGAAUGAAACAAUAGAUUCGUGAAGAUAUUUGCACGGAUGGUAUUUGUCAAGAGCAACAAGAGGAUUUGCAUAACCACAACCGAUGUAGCAUCAUGGAGUGACUUCACCCAUUCCUGGAGGCCUCACAAGGUCAUGUAAAAAAAGAAUCACUAAAUGUAUGGAGGCUGGAAGGAAAGAUGAAUGCAAAAUUAAUCUCGGACAUUGCUGGAAUACAGGAAGUGAUCCUCACGCCCGCUGGAUUUUCCUGCACGAGGAAGUGUUAGUGACUCUCCUCGCUGGCCAGCACCUCCUGCACCUACUCCACUAGAGCUGCCACCUGACUGGGCGAAGGUAUCACGAGGCUUCCAUACUGGUGAACCUGUAGUAGGGUAGUGUUGAGAAGAAACAAAUAUGUUGCAUUAUAAUAAUUAUUUUAAGGAGCAAUAAAUUACUGUAUUGUAAUCCACAAGUUUUCCCUACAUAUUAGUGUACAUACUAGCAAAUCAGAAUUUUCCAUAAUUUCAACUAAUGGAACAUUACUCAUUACUUCCAGAAUGUGUAUAACUACGUAUAGACCAUAAAAAAUAGGAUCAUGCAGUGCUACCUAAUGCUGAUAUGCAAUACAUUCAUAACACACCUCUUUCAUUAAUACCCAUGAGGCAUAAGCAGAACCAAGGUUAUUCAAUGUGUAUGUCAGUUUUGAUAAAUUUAUGGAAGGAGUAUUUUAUCUUCUAGAUUUACUUUCAUGCAGAUGGCCCUCCAGCUGUACCAACUCUGUAGAUCCUAACUGAGGAAGGCCCAAACCAUAUGGCAUAUGGGUCUUCAAGGUGUUUAGUCUUCAGUUUCAACCUCAAGAGUGGUGAGCCAAGGGAAGAAAGGAGGCCACUGCAUAUUAUGAUUAAUGGCUAAUGUUCCCAAGACUUGCUAAUGUUAUGUGGGAGGAGUAGGAUGUGGGAGAAGAUGAAGAUGAGUGCACACAAUAGCUUGCGUGAGAAGAUAAUACCAUGAGGCAAAUGAUUACAUUCAGGGUACCCAAGAGCAAGAGACUGUGCUGCCUAAAUACCAGCAGAAUCUAAACCAAGGCAAAAGAAGGAUGAAGUGCUAUGUCCACACUCCAAUAAGCAACAAUAAAAUGGUGAAAUGGGAGGCACUAACAAGAAUGACAUGACACAUCUGUAUAGGACUUCACUUUGGUCAAGAUGUUGGCAUGUCAGGGUUUUUGGUUACAUCAUUGACCUGAGCAUCUGCAAAGCCAAACUAGCCUACAAGAGGGCCAUCCAUCUGAGACCCUAAUGGAUUUGAAAGCUUUCAGUCUCUGCAUAUCAAAGUAUGCAAGGCUCCACAAGACAACUGGUCCUCAGUAAACAUUGAAAUGUCAUGGAAGAUCCUUCCAGACUCUCCAUCGCCUGCUGCCACGACUUUCCCAUUAAGAGGAGGUAGAUCUGUACCACAUGUAGUGAGAGGACAUCUUGGCUCACCAUUGCUUGUCUUCACCACCAUAACUGAAGACCUGUAAGCACUGAUCCAAGAAGGAUUUGCGUCAAAGGAAGUUGGUGUGCAGGGCGUGCAAUAUAGCACUGUGUAGUCUAACUCCAGGAAUUGUUCUAUUCUAUUCCAUGAAGUUUGUAAUAUAUCAAUUAACAUUGUUGCAAUAUGUGAAUUUUUAGUAAUACUAUAGUUUUGAAAAUAUUUAAUUUGAUGGUGGUUUAUCUUACCAAAUACUCCACUGCAUACAGAAACUUGUGUAACUGCAUCUUGAAUAAGUAUAAAAAGGAAUAAGAAUAAAAAAUGGGUUUAACAGCCCACAAACAAAAAAUCCAUAGCUAGGGAACUCCAACAACAGUAAGGGGUGAUAGUAGGUAGCACAAACACAGGAGAAGCUAGAAGGCAGCAGAAAAGUAUCUCCCCAAGGUGGCAGAACAAUCCACAAACAUUAGGAAAGCCUGCUACAGACACAACAGCCACAGUUAAAUGACAAGAACAAAAAACUGAAUCUCGGCAUGAAAAUAUAUCCAAAAUGAGUUUCUGCAUAAAAUAAUGCUGAUAAUAGGAAACAAAGAACAGAAAUUUUAAACAAUCUCAAAAUUCCAAGAGUAAUCAAAAUUAAUUCUCACUAAGAGGAAAACGGUAGUACUACUCACAUUUACACUCGGUGGCAAGAAACGCCAAUGACACAUAACUACCAUUAAUUUUAAGAAACUUAACAUUUACAACUACCUCUUAUUUUUCAACUACAAUAAUUUUAGGUGAGUACCAUCAUCAAGAUGUGUAAGUAUGCAAUAUAAGACCAAAUGAAAAUACUAAAUAGUAUCAUAUAAAAAAUGCAAAAUGUUUCUGGAAGAGCAACUUGGAAUAGUCUGAACACGACAGAAUCCUAUGGUGGAUGGUCAGGCUAUGUGUAGUGGGUUCUUUGUCUGUCAGGUUCUCAUAGCAAAUGUGACAAGAGCCAUAUGCAUGGAAAUAAGGCUACUUAUGAUUAAUGGGUUUAUGCACAAACUUCACUUAUUAAAAAACUGAUGUAUGUAUAUCAAUCAUUCAUGAUGCACAAAAAAAUUACUAAUGCAAUCACAGAAAUUAUGAAUGCAUAUAGCCCUGGACAUAGGAGUAUGUGGUAGGAUAAGCCUUUUUAAGUGCCCCACCUUUCCCGCUACAAAGAGGGAAGAGGGGGAUUAAAGAAAAAAAAAAAAAAAAAAAAAAAAGAAGAUAAUAAUGGACUAAAGAUCCUUAUGAAUUAUACAAUUCACAAUUAAGCCUAACCCAAUACAAAGCCUACUGUUACUACCUGAAAGCAAAAUACUGUCUCACCAAAUGAUAAUUCAGUAAAUAGUACUUUAUUCUAGAGUAUUAAUUAAAUACAUAUUACUGUAAGUAAAUAAAAACACUGAUGCCAAACACUAAAUAGACUUAGCCCCCACUACAUUCCAGUUACCUAGGUAACUAACUUUACUAGUCACUUAAUAUGAUUUCAUAUCAGUGAUGUAAUGUAGUAACAAAAACUAAUCAAAUCGGUAAAUAAUCUUCAGCAAUCAAGUUUGACAUUUGGUAUGAGGCAGUUGACUAUAAAAAGGCUGAUAGUUUUUUCAAAGUCCCUCUAUUCCUAUAUAAACAUUAACAAGUCUACAGAGUUGUGAGUGGGUCACUCAAAAAGUCAUAUUAGCUGACAUAUUACAGAAAAAUGGCUGAAGAUGAACUAUCUUUCUUUGUUAAAAAUCAGCCUCCCUAAACAUACCUUUUAAGUAGGUUGCCAUUAGUGUCACGAAAUUUCAUGAAAUCAGAAUACUGUAUAAAAUUAAUAUAAAAAAUAUACCCCUAUAUUUAUAGAAUAUAGGUCGGCAAAAGAUCUGAAAGUGGAAAUUUGGUUCUUGAAAUAUAGUCUGUUAAAAAGUAUGCAAAAAUAGAAUUAAAAGUACAAUACUAGUCUGUCUGAAGAAAAAAAAAUCCCAUUACAUUGGGAAUAACAAACUACAAUUUCCUAAGGUUAUGCAAAUAUGCUUCUCUCUCUCCAGGAGAAUCAUCACUGUCUCUUCAGUGAAUACGUAACACAAAUGGGUAGUUAAUGAGGUAAUUUUGCCAAGAUUCACCUUACUAAAUUAAUGAUAAAACCAACCUCAAGGAAAACUAUUAAUCCUUUACCUACAAAGAAAAAGAACCAAUAACUUACAUACUAAGCUUUGUAAAUUGCUUACAUGCCAACUGUUAGUGUGGGUAAUUAUCAAAUAGAAUAUAAUUGGCAAGGGCAAAAAUUGCAAGUAAAACCACUACAGAGGCAAACUUUCUGUAAUAAAAUCCAAAUCAUUAUAAAUUCCCCAAGUUAGUAGCUACUGGGUAAGGUUAAAAGCUAUAUGAAUUUGCAAAACAAAUUUAACACUAAUGUUUAGAAGUUUUACUCUUUAGACAGGUAGCACCAUUCAUUUUAUUAUAGAGUAUCAAGUACCUAUGAUCUAUAAAUGUUCCCCAUUACCUUCAAAGCCCCUAAAAUUAGUAGUUUCCAUUUGUGAACUGUCUUUGCAAAAGUACAGAACCACUAUGUAUUAUGAAGAUAGCAAACAAAAAUGUGUAAUUACGAUAUUAUCAUCAGCAAAUCGUUCAGGUUAUCCUAUUUUCUCCUUUUCAAUCAAAAGCCCACACUAAAAGGAACCAUCUAAUUCAAUUUAUUGCAGUACUUAUUUUUUAUAUUUUUUAUAAUUUAAAUGUAGGAAUAAAUAUGAAACUGGAUCCCAUUCUGUAAUGAGCAAUAAAUAUUGUGACUUCUAUUGUACAAAUAUGUAAUGACAAUUUUAAUAAAGGAAUUAAAGUACCAACUGAAUUAAUUUUAACAUGAACAUUAAGAAAAAAUACUGAAAGUUUCUACAAACCUCUGAUGUGAUUGUUAAUACAUGUUAUUUUUACUGUAAAGUAUAUAUUACUGAAAUAAAAAUUCCAUUAUUACUAGAAAUUUUUUUAUAAUUUCAAAAUUACUCUACAUUAAUAACAAUGUAGUUCACAGACUAGGUAAUGU